This 468-nucleotide ribosomal RNA is filed under the name uncultured bacterium. RNAcentral's name for it is "partial 16S ribosomal RNA". It matches the Rfam family "Bacterial small subunit ribosomal RNA", at positions 28 to 507 of the family's 1533-position model. The record is from RNAcentral.
GACGAACGCUGGCGGCGUGCUUAACACAUGCAAGUCGAACGGAAAGGCCCUGCUUUUGUGGGGUGCUCGAGUGGCGAACGGGUGAGUAACACGUGAGUAACCUGCCCUUGACUUUGGGAUAACUUCAGGAAACUGGGGCUAAUACCGGAUAGGAGCUCCUGCUGCAUGGUGGGGGUUGGAAAGUUUCGGCGGUUGGGGAUGGACUCGCGGCUUAUCAGCUUGUUGGUGGGGUAGUGGCUUACCAAGGCUUUGACGGGUAGCCGGCCUGAGAGGGUGGCCGGCCACCAUGGGACUGAGGGACGGCGCAGACUCGUACGGGAGGCAGCAGUGGGGAAUAUUGCACAAUGGGCGGAAGCCUGAGGCAGCAACGCCGCGUGCGGGAUGACGGCCUUCGGGUUGUAAACCGCUUUCGCCUGUGACGAAGCGUGAGUGACGGUAAUGGGUAAAGAAGCACCGGCUAACUACGUG